UGAAACAAGACAAGGCUCAAUUGUGUAUGCCUUUUACUUUCAGUGCCAUGAUAAUUUUUGUUGUGGGGAGGAAAUUCUCACUGCAAAGAAAUCAAUAAACACCAGUGAUUCCCAUCUCUGCUGUUAUAUGGGCUUGGAAAUGCCCACAGGCAAAAUGAGAAAAACAAGGAAAAGAAAUAACAACAGACAGGAUUACAACCCACUGGUGUACAACUUCUGCAGCAGCUUUUGGCUCUGGUUUGUACAAGACAUUUGCAAAUGACAGGUUGGCUUUUUUUAGCUCUUAUGUUUGGGACAGGAUAAGCCUUCUAUCAUGAGACUUUUGAAAUGGAGGCCAAAAUCUUG
RNAcentral lists this long non-coding RNA (345 nucleotides) under Pogona vitticeps (central bearded dragon). RNAcentral's name for it is "lncRNA (ENSPVIG00000011354.1)". The record is from RNAcentral. Lineage: Eukaryota; Metazoa; Chordata; Lepidosauria; Squamata; Agamidae.